This 490-nucleotide ribosomal RNA is filed under the name uncultured bacterium. RNAcentral describes it as "partial 16S ribosomal RNA". It matches the Rfam family "Bacterial small subunit ribosomal RNA", at positions 30 to 507 of the family's 1533-position model. The record is from RNAcentral.
AUUGAACGCUGGCGGCAUGCCUUACACAUGCAAGUCGAACGGCAGCACGGUAUAGCUUGGCAGAUUGAUGGCGAGAGUCGAGCGGGGGAGUAGUACACCUGGACGUGUCCUGUUGCGGGGGGGAACAAGUAGGGAGACUAGCGCUAAUAGCACACACCCCGUGGGUGUGAGAGGGGGGCAUCAUGGGAUCAUGCUCUAUGAGAGGCCGAUGUCUGAGUAGCUAGUUGGUGCGGUAAAGGCGCACCAAGGCGACGAUCAGUAGCUGGUCUGAGAGGAUGAUCAGCCACACUGGAACUGAGACACGGCCCAGACUCCUACGGGAGGCAGCAGUGGGGAAUUUUGGACAAUGGGCGAAAGCCUGAUCCAGCAAUGCCGCGUGUGUGAAGAAGGCCUUCGGGUUGUAAAGCCCUUUUGUCCGGAAAGAAAAGCCGCAGGUUAAUACCUCGCGUUGAUGACGGUACCGAAAGAAUAAGGACCGGCUAACUUCGUG